GAUGAACGCUGGCGGCGUGCCUAAUACAUGCAAGUCGAACGAAACUUCUUUAUCACCGAGUGCUUGCACUCACCGAUAAAGAGUUGAGUGGCGAACGGGUGAGUAACACGUGGGCAACCUGCCCAAAAGAGGGGGAUAACACUUGGAAACAGGUGCUAAUACCGCAUAACCAUAGUUACCGCAUGGUAACUAUGUAAAAGGUGGCUAUACUACCGCUUUUGGAUGGGCCCGCGGCGCAUUAGCUAGUUGGUAGGGUAAAGGCUUACCAAGGCAAUGAUGCGUAGCCGAAUUGAGAGGUUGAUCGGCCACAUUGGGACUGAGACACGGCCCAAACUCCUACGGGAGGCAGCAGUAGGGAAUCUUCCACAAUGGGCGAAAGCCUGAUGGAGCAACGCCGCGUGGGUGAAGAAGGUCUUCGGAUCGUAAAACCCUGUUGUUAGAGAAGAAAGUGCGUGAGAGUAACUGUUCACGUUUCGACGGUAUCUAACCAGAAAGCCACGGCUAACUACGG
RNAcentral lists this ribosomal RNA (511 nucleotides) under uncultured bacterium. RNAcentral's name for it is "partial 16S ribosomal RNA". It matches the Rfam family "Bacterial small subunit ribosomal RNA", at positions 28 to 506 of the family's 1533-position model. The record is from RNAcentral.